This 253-nucleotide ribosomal RNA is filed under the name uncultured bacterium. Its description in RNAcentral is "partial 16S ribosomal RNA". It matches the Rfam family "Bacterial small subunit ribosomal RNA", at positions 524 to 776 of the family's 1533-position model. The record is from RNAcentral.
UACGUGAGGGGCGAACGUUGUUCGGUGUCACUGGGCUUAAAGGGUGCGUAGGUGGUUGCGUAAGUAACGUGUGAAAUCCCUCGGCUUACCCGGGGAAUUGCGCGUUAUACUGCGUGACUUGAGGAUUUCAGGGGAAUGGGGAACUCCAGGUGUAGCGGUGAAAUGCGCAGAUAUCAGGAGGAACACCGGUGGCGAAGGCGGUUCUCUGGGCAUGUCCUGACGCUGAGGAGCGAAAGUGUGGGGAGCGAACAGG